This 279-nucleotide long non-coding RNA is filed under the name Arabidopsis lyrata. RNAcentral describes it as "long non-coding RNA (ALYR_LNC000898)". The record is from RNAcentral. Lineage: Eukaryota; Viridiplantae; Streptophyta; Magnoliopsida; Brassicales; Brassicaceae.
AAAAGAGGAGGAGAGCCUCCUUAGCUAAAGCAUCAGCCUGGCGAUUCAAGUUUCUAGAAAUGAAAUUGAAAGAGCAACAAUUGAAAUUAGAGGAUAGAUUCAGGAUGUCGUGGAGAAUCCUGUGAAGUUCCUUUGAGUGGAGCUUCAAAUUAAGAGCUUUGACUAGAUUAGACGAGUCUGAAGCGAAAGAGAUGGAUUUGAGAUCCGAUUCGAGUGCACCUUCAACCGCAGUGAGAGUUGCCAUUGCUUCGGCCAUCAAGGGAGAUCCAACAUGGGAUG